RNAcentral lists this ribosomal RNA (253 nucleotides) under uncultured bacterium. RNAcentral describes it as "partial 16S ribosomal RNA". It matches the Rfam family "Bacterial small subunit ribosomal RNA", at positions 524 to 776 of the family's 1533-position model. The record is from RNAcentral.
UACGGAGGGGACUAGCGUUGUUCGGAAUUACUGGGCGUAAAGCGCACGUAGGCGGAUUUGUAAGUCAGGGGUGAAAUCCCGGGGCUCAACCUCGGAACUGCCUUUGAUACUGCCAAUCUCGAGUCCGGAAGAGGUGAGUGGAAUUCCUAGUGUAGAGGUGAAAUUCGUAGAUAUUAGGAAGAACACCAGUGGCGAAGGCGGCUCACUGGUCCGGUACUGACGCUGAGGCGCGAAAGCGUGGGGAGCAAACAGG